This 253-nucleotide ribosomal RNA is filed under the name uncultured bacterium. Its description in RNAcentral is "partial 16S ribosomal RNA". It matches the Rfam family "Bacterial small subunit ribosomal RNA", at positions 524 to 776 of the family's 1533-position model. The record is from RNAcentral.
UACGGGGGGAGCAAGCGUUGUUCGGAUUUACUGGGCGUAAAGGGCGCGUAGGCGGGCAGGUAAGUCAGUGGUGAAAUCCCCGAGCUCAACUUGGGAAUUGCCGUUGAUACUAUCUGUCUUGAAUAUCGUGGAGGUGAGCGGAAUAUGUCAUGUAGCGGUGAAAUGCUUAGAUAUGACAUAGAACACCCAUUGCGAAGGCAGCUCACUACACGAUAAUUGACGCUGAGGCACGAAAGCGUGGGGAGCAAACAGG